Molecule: long non-coding RNA, 352 nt
Filed under: Phoenix dactylifera (date palm)
Lineage: Eukaryota; Viridiplantae; Streptophyta; Magnoliopsida; Arecales; Arecaceae
Description: long non-coding RNA (PDAC_LNC018317)
Source: RNAcentral
AAGCAUGGUUCGCUGAAUCGUGCCGAACUGGACCAGUCGGGACUGGCACGGUUCAGCCUCUCAAAUCAAGAUUGGGCUAGUUCGCCUAACUCCUCUCCUGGUCCGUGCGCUUGCAUUUGCCUAUGAAAGCGACCUCGAUAUGGCCGCUUGCAUUCGAUGAUUUUUGGUAAGUCCCCUCUUUCUCGGUCGCGUUAGGAUUAAAAUUUCCCUCCCCCUCCUCUCUUUCUCUCUCUCGUGUUAAGUUAGGGUUUUCCUCGGCCCUCCCUCUUCUUUCCUCUCCCUCCCUCUCUCUCCCGCUCCCCUCUUCCAAUGAAGACAAUGAGGGCUUUCAAGCCCUCUUGCUCUCGGCCUC